This 73-nucleotide transfer RNA is filed under the name Acidimicrobiia bacterium. RNAcentral's name for it is "tRNA-Ile". It matches the Rfam family "tRNA". Rfam says of the family: Transfer RNA (tRNA) molecules are approximately 80 nucleotides in length. Their secondary structure includes four short double-helical elements and three loops (D, anti-codon, and T loops). Further hydrogen bonds mediate the characteristic L-shaped molecular structure. tRNAs have two regions of fundamental functional importance: the anti-codon, which is responsible for specific mRNA codon recognition, and the 3' end, to which the tRNAs corresponding amino acid is attached (by aminoacyl-tRNA synthetases). tRNAs cope with the degeneracy of the genetic code in two manners: having more than one tRNA (with a specific anti-codon) for a particular amino acid; and 'wobble' base-pairing, i.e. permitting non-standard base-pairing at the 3rd anti-codon position. The record is from RNAcentral. RNAcentral also lists the same sequence under 2 other names. Lineage: Bacteria; Bacillati; Actinomycetota; Acidimicrobiia.
GGGCCAGUAGCUCAGUGGUCAGAGCAGGCGACUCAUAAUCGCUCGGUCGCAGGUUCGAUCCCUGCCUGGCCCA